UCAAUGGUUAUGCAGAGAUUCUCACAGAGC
This 30-nucleotide non-coding RNA is filed under the name Homo sapiens (human). The record is from RNAcentral. Lineage: Eukaryota; Metazoa; Chordata; Mammalia; Primates; Hominidae.